GGUCGUAUGGUGUAGUGGUUAGCACCUUGGACUUUGAAUCCAGUGACCCAGGUUCGAGUCCUGGUAUGACCU
Transfer RNA from Paramecium tetraurelia, 72 nucleotides. It matches the Rfam family "tRNA". From Rfam's summary of the family: Transfer RNA (tRNA) molecules are approximately 80 nucleotides in length. Their secondary structure includes four short double-helical elements and three loops (D, anti-codon, and T loops). NCBI's taxonomy places the organism in Eukaryota, Ciliophora, Oligohymenophorea, Peniculida, Parameciidae. The record is from Rfam.